CGGGGGGAGCAAGCGUUGUUCGGAUUUACUGGGCGUAAAGGGCGCGUAGGCGGCGCAACAAGUCACUUGUGAAAUCUCCGGGCUUAACCCGGAGCGGCCAAGUGAUACUGUCGUGCUAGAGUGCGGAAGGGGCUACUGGAAUUCUCGGUGUAGCGGUGAAAUGCGUAGAUAUCGAGAGGAACACCUGCGGCGAAGGCGGGUAGCUGGGCCGACACUGACGCUGAUGCGCGAAAGCCAGGGGAGCGAACGGGAUUAGAUACCCCGGUAGUCCUGGCCUUAAACGAUGGAUACUUGGUGUCCGGGGUUACAUAGUCCCCGGGUGCCGGCGCUAACGCAUUAAGUAUCCCGCCUGGGGAGAACGGUCGCAAGACUG
This 373-nucleotide ribosomal RNA is filed under the name uncultured organism. RNAcentral's name for it is "bacterial SSU rRNA". It matches the Rfam family "Bacterial small subunit ribosomal RNA", at positions 526 to 896 of the family's 1533-position model. The record is from RNAcentral.